This 1422-nucleotide long non-coding RNA is filed under the name Numida meleagris (helmeted guineafowl). RNAcentral describes it as "lncRNA (ENSNMEG00000018805.1)". Lineage: Eukaryota; Metazoa; Chordata; Aves; Galliformes; Numididae. The record is from RNAcentral.
NNNNNNNNNNNNNNNNNNNNNNNNNNNNNNNNNNNNNNNNNNNNNNNNNNNNNNNNCCUUCUUCCCUUCUUCCCUUCCUUCUUUCUUCCCUUCCUUCCUCUCCUUCCCUCUGCCUCUGUCACACAUUUAUCUCUUCCUUCUUCUUCCCUUCUUCCUUCCUUCUUUUCUUCAUUCCUUCUUUCUCUUCUUUCCUCCUUUUUUAUAUUCCUUUCCUUCUUCCUUCUUUCAUUCUUUCUUGAUUUCCUUCUUCCUUUCUUCCUUCUUUCCUCCUUUCAUUCUUUUCUUCUUUCUUUUUCUUCUCUUUUCUUUCAUUAUUCCUUCUUUAUUCUUUCCUUCCUUUCCUUCUUUCCUUCUUUCCUUCUUUCCUUCUUUCCUUCUUUCCUCCUUUCCCUUUUCUUCCUCUUUCUUCUUUCUUCUUUCUUCUUUCUUCUUUCUUCUUUCUUCUUUCUUCUUUCUUCUUUCUUCUUUCUUCUUUCUUCUUUCUUCUUUCUUCUUUCUUCUUCCUUCUUCCUUCUUCCUUCUUUCCUUCUUUCUUUUUUCCUUCUUUCCUUCUUUCUUUUUUGCUCUCUCUGCCACUGCCCCACGUAUCUCUUUCUCCAUUCUCUAUUUCACUCUUCCUUUCUCUUUCUGUCUCCCUCUGCCCUCUCCCUCUUUGCCCUGGGCCCUCUAUUUCUGCAUUUCUCCCUCUCCUUCCUUUCCCUCUCCUCCUUUCUCCCUGUCUCUCACCCUCCACCUCCUCUCCCGGUGCCCUCGCGGCGGUGCAAAGCCCUCGGUGCCCCCUGGGGGGCAGCACACGCCGCGCAGUGCUCCCUCCGGGCAGGUGAGCACCGGGACCGGAGCGGGGACCGGCAGCACCGAGCAGCGGCACCGGCCAGUGCCCGGAGCGUGCAGCCGGGCUGGGAAAAGCCCCCGAGGAGCAGAGAUCUGAGGGCUGCGGCUCUCGGCUCCUCGAGAAAUAACAUCAAAGCCGCGAAGGGAACGCGGCCGCCGCCCCGUCGGUAGUGGGGAAAUUCGGGCAAACGGAGCUUCCGAAGUCCCGGAGGAACGGGGAGAGAAAGCCGCCGUGCUCGGCAAUGGGGAGCGUGUGCCCCGAGCCUGGGGCUUUCCUGCCCGCGAGGACUCCUCUCUCUGCGCUUCCCCGUUUCGGACGCAUAACUGAUGAUUUGAUUUGAUUUGUUCUCGAGUUGAAGUUUUUGGGGUUCGUUUUAGGCGGUGUAAAGUCCCCAGCUGCAGCAUGCAAAGUAUUAUUGCUGCUUCUUGGUUGCUUUUUUUUUUUUUUUUUUUUUUUCCUAUAGAAAUUCGUCUCGGUAAUGUUUUCAGCUGAGGAGAGGUAAGAUUCAAUGAGGGUUAUUUCUCGAGGCGUCCCAGGCUUUUAGGAAGGGACAGCUCUGGAAAACGUAGGGGUUGCUUGGCUCAAUUUUA